CUUUACUGUAACCUGGAAUUGGGUUCGGGCUUUGCUUGCGCAGGAUAGGUGGGAGGCUAAGAGACUACUCUUGUGGGGGUAGUGGAGCCAACGGUGAGAUACCACUCUGCAACAGCUAGAAGUCUAACCGAUUGCCGUUAUCCGGCAUUGGAACCGUGUCAGGUGGGCAGUUUGACUGGGGCGGUCGCCUCCUAAAAGGUAACGGAGGCGCGCAAAGGUUCUCUCAGGCUGGUUGGAAAUCAGCCGUAGAGUGUAAAGGCAUAAGAGAGCUUGACUGUGAGACCCACAAGUCGAACAGGGACGAAAGUCGGCCUUAGUGAUCCGACGGCACUGAGUGGAAGGGCCGUCGCUAAACGGAUAAAAGUUA
Molecule: ribosomal RNA, 367 nt
Filed under: uncultured organism
Description: bacterial LSU rRNA
Rfam family: Bacterial large subunit ribosomal RNA
Source: RNAcentral